RNAcentral lists this ribosomal RNA (157 nucleotides) under Tracylla aristata. RNAcentral describes it as "partial large subunit ribosomal RNA". It matches the Rfam family "Eukaryotic large subunit ribosomal RNA", at positions 99 to 261 of the family's 3401-position model. The record is from RNAcentral. Lineage: Eukaryota; Fungi; Ascomycota; Sordariomycetes; Tracyllales; Tracyllaceae.
CGGCAACAGCUCAAAUUUGAAAUCUGGCCUCGGCCCGAGUUGUAAUUUGCAGAGGAUGCUUCGGGCGCGGUGCCUUCCGAGUCCCCUGGAACGGGGCGCCAGAGAGGGUGAGAGCCCCGUAUGGUUGGACACCAAGCCUGUGUGAAGCUCCUUCGAC